GAGGGUAUAACUCAGGGGUAGAGCGCCUGCUUAGCAUGCACGAGGUCCUGGGUUCAAUCCCCAGUCCCUCCA
Molecule: transfer RNA, 72 nt
Filed under: Camelus bactrianus (Bactrian camel)
Lineage: Eukaryota; Metazoa; Chordata; Mammalia; Artiodactyla; Camelidae
Also listed under: 1 other name
Rfam family: tRNA
About the family: Transfer RNA (tRNA) molecules are approximately 80 nucleotides in length. Their secondary structure includes four short double-helical elements and three loops (D, anti-codon, and T loops).
Source: Rfam by way of RNAcentral